ACGCUGAAAGAGGAGCUUGCUUCUCUGGAUGAGUUGCGAACGGGUGAGUAACGCGUAGGUAACCUGCCUGGUAGCGGGGGAUAACUAUUGGAAACGAUAGCCAAUACCGCAUAACAGUAGAUGUUGCAUGACAUUUGCUUAAAAGGUGCAAUUGCACCACUACCAGAUGGACCUGCGUUGUAUUAGCUAGUUGGUGGGGUAACGGCUCACCAAGGCGACGAUACAUAGCCGACCUGAGAGGGUGAUCGGCCACACUGGGACUGAGACACGGCCCAGACUCCUACGGGAGGCAGCAGUAGGGAAUCUUCGGCAAUGGACGGAAGUCUGACCGAGCAACGCCGCGUGAGUGAAGAAGGUUUUCGGAUCGUAAAGCUCUGUUGUAAGAGAAGAACGAGUGUGAGAGUGGAAAGUUCACACUGUGACGGUAUCUUACCAGAAAGGGACGGCUAACUGCGUGCCAGCAGCCGCGGUAAUACGUAGGUCCCGAGCGUUGUCCGGAUUUAUUGGGCGUAAAGCGAGCGCAGGCGGUUAGAUAAGUCUGAAGUUAAAGGCUGUGGCUUAACCAUAGUACGCUUUGGAAACUGUUUAACUUGAGUGCAAGAGGGGAGAGUGGAAUUCCAUGUGUAGCGGUGAAAUGCGUAGAUAUAUGGAGGAACACCGGUGGCGAAAGCGGCUCUCUGGCUUGUAAC
This 689-nucleotide ribosomal RNA is filed under the name uncultured Bacilli bacterium. Its description in RNAcentral is "bacterial SSU rRNA". It matches the Rfam family "Bacterial small subunit ribosomal RNA", at positions 64 to 740 of the family's 1533-position model. The record is from RNAcentral. Lineage: Bacteria; Bacillati; Bacillota; Bacilli.